This 492-nucleotide ribosomal RNA is filed under the name uncultured bacterium. RNAcentral's name for it is "partial 16S ribosomal RNA". It matches the Rfam family "Bacterial small subunit ribosomal RNA", at positions 29 to 507 of the family's 1533-position model. The record is from RNAcentral.
AGUGAACGCUGGCGGUAGGCCUAACACGUGCAAGUCGAACGGCAGCACAGUAAGAGCUUGCUCUUACGGGUGGCGAGUGGCGGACGGGUGAGGAAUACAUCGGAAUCUACUUUUUCGUGGGGGAUAACGUAGGGAAACUUACGCUAAUACCGCAUACGACCUACGGGUGAAAGCAGGGGAUCUUCGGACCUUGCGCGAUUGAAUGAGCCGAUGUCGGAUUAGCUAGUUGGCGGGGUAAAGGCCCACCAAGGCGACGAUCCGUAGCUGGUCUGAGAGGAUGAUCAGCCACACUGGAACUGAGACACGGUCCAGACUCCUACGGGAGGCAGCAGUGGGGAAUAUUGGACAAUGGGCGCAAGCCUAAUCCAGCCAUACCGCGUGGGUGAAGAAGGCCUUCGGGUUGUAAAGCCCUUUUGUUGGGAAAGAAAAGCAGCAGGUUAAUACCCCGCUGUUCUGACGGUACCCAAAGAAUAAGCACCGGCUAACUUCGUG